RNAcentral lists this ribosomal RNA (442 nucleotides) under uncultured bacterium. Its description in RNAcentral is "partial 16S ribosomal RNA". It matches the Rfam family "Bacterial small subunit ribosomal RNA", at positions 338 to 795 of the family's 1533-position model. The record is from RNAcentral.
CCUACGGGGGGCUGCAGUGGGGAAUAUUGGGCAAUGGACGCAAGCCUGACCCAGCAACGCCGCGUGAAGGAAGAAGGCUUUCGGGUUUGAAACUUCUUUUGACACGGAGGAGUAGAAGACGGUACCUGUCGAAUAAGCCACGGCUAACUACGUGCCAGCGGCCGCGGCAAUACGUCGGUGGCAAGCGUUGUCCGGAUUUACUGGGUGUAAAGGGCGUGUAGCCGGGUUGACAAGUCAGAUGUGAAAUCCUGCGGCUUAACCGCAGAACUGCAUUUGAAACUGUUGAUCUUGAGUGCUGGAGAGGCAGACGGAAUGCCUAGUGUAGCGGUGAAAUGCGUAGAUAUUAGGAGGAACACCAGUGGCGAAGGCGGUCUGCUGGACAGCAACUGACGGUGAGGCGCGAAAGCGUGGGGAGCAAACAGGAUUAGAUACCCGUGUAGUC